CUGCAAGUCGAGCGAUGAAGUUUCUUCGGAAAUGGAUUAGCGGCGAACGGGUGAGGAACACGUGAAGAAUCUGCCCUCCACUUUGGGAUAACACCGGGAAACCGGUGCUAAUACUGAAUAUUGAAACAUAAGUGGCAUCACUGAGUUUUGAAAGAAUUUCGGUGGAGGAUGACUUCGCGGCCUAUCAGCUAGUUGGUGAGGUAAUGGCUCACCAAGGCAACGACGGGUAGCCGGCCUGAGAGGGCGACCGGCCACACUGGGACUGAGACACGGCCCAGACUCCUACGGGAGGCAGCAGUGGGGAAUAUUGGGCAAUGGAGGAAACUCUGACCCAGCGACGCCGCGUGCGGGAUGAAGGCCUUCGGGUUGUAAACCGCUUUCAGUAGGGAAGAAGCGAAAGUGACGGUACCUACAAAAGAAGCACCGGCUAACUAUGUGCCAGCAGCCGCGGUAAUACAUAGGGUGCAAGCGUUGUCCGGAAUUAUUGGGCGUAAAGAGCUCGUAGGUCGUUUGUUACGUCGGAUGUGAAAACCUGAGGCUCAACCUCAGGCCUGCAUUCGAUACGGGCAAACUAGAGUUUGGUAGGGGAGACUGGAAUUCCUGGUGUAGCGGUGGAAUGCGCAGAUAUCAGGGAGGAACACCAAU
Molecule: ribosomal RNA, 645 nt
Filed under: uncultured Actinomycetes bacterium
Lineage: Bacteria; Bacillati; Actinomycetota; Actinomycetes
Description: bacterial SSU rRNA
Rfam family: Bacterial small subunit ribosomal RNA
Source: RNAcentral